RNAcentral lists this transfer RNA (85 nucleotides) under Felis catus (domestic cat). It matches the Rfam family "tRNA". From Rfam's summary of the family: Transfer RNA (tRNA) molecules are approximately 80 nucleotides in length. Lineage: Eukaryota; Metazoa; Chordata; Mammalia; Carnivora; Felidae. RNAcentral also lists the same sequence under 2 other names. The record is from Rfam by way of RNAcentral.
GCCUGGGUGGCUCAGUCAGUUGAGCGCCCGACUUGGGCUCAGGUCAUGAUCUCACAGUUUGUGGGUUCAAGCCCCGCAUUGGGCU